RNAcentral lists this ribosomal RNA (561 nucleotides) under uncultured bacterium. RNAcentral describes it as "bacterial SSU rRNA". It matches the Rfam family "Bacterial small subunit ribosomal RNA", at positions 466 to 1034 of the family's 1533-position model. The record is from RNAcentral.
AGCUUGACGGUACCGUAAGAAUAAGGAUCGGCUAACUCCGUGCCAGCAGCCGCGGUAAUUCGGAGGAUCCAAGCGUUAUCCAGAAUCAUUGGGUUUAAAGGGUCUGUAGGCGGUCUUGUAAGUCAGUGGUGAAAGCCCAUCGCUCAACGGUGGAACGGCCAUUGAUACUGCUUGACUUGAAUUAUUUGGAAGCAACUAGAAUAUGUAGUGUAGCGGUGAAAUGCUUAGAGAUUACAUGGAAUACCAAUUGCGAAGGCAGGUUGCUACCAAUGGAUUGACGCUGAUGGACGAAAGCGUGGGUACCGAACAGGAUUAGAUACCCUGGUAGUCCACGCCGUAAACGAUGGUUACUAGCUGUUGGGCGCAAGUUCAGUGGCUAAGCGAAAGUGAUAAGUAUGCCACCUGGGGAGUACGAACGCAAGUUUGAAACUCACAGGAAUUGACGGGGGCCCGCACAAGCGGUGGAGCUUGUGGUUUAAUUCGAUGAUACGCGAGGAACCUUACCAAGGCUUAACUGCAGACUGACCGGUUUGGAAACAGACCUUUCGCAAGACGGUCUAC